This 496-nucleotide ribosomal RNA is filed under the name uncultured bacterium. RNAcentral describes it as "partial 16S ribosomal RNA". It matches the Rfam family "Bacterial small subunit ribosomal RNA", at positions 29 to 507 of the family's 1533-position model. The record is from RNAcentral.
AUGAACGCUGGCGGCGUGCCUAAUACAUGCAAGUCGAGCGAACAGACGAGGAGCUUGCUCCUCUGACGUUAGCGGCGGACGGGUGAGUAACACGUGGAUAACCUACCUAUAAGACUGGGAUAACUUCGGGAAACCGGAGCUAAUACCGGAUAAUAUAUUGAACCGCAUGGUUCAAUAGUGAAAGACGGUUUUGCUGUCACUUAUAGAUGGAUCCGCGCCGCAUUAGCUAGUUGGUAAGGUAACGGCUUACCAAGGCAACGAUGCGUAGCCGACCUGAGAGGGUGAUCGGCCACACUGGAACUGAGACACGGUCCAGACUCCUACGGGAGGCAGCAGUAGGGAAUCUUCCGCAAUGGGCGAAAGCCUGACGGAGCAACGCCGCGUGAGUGAUGAAGGUCUUCGGAUCGUAAAACUCUGUUAUUAGGGAAGAACAAAUGUGUAAGUAACUAUGCACGUCUUGACGGUACCGAAUCAGAAAGCCACGGCUAACUACGUG